GACGAACGCUGGCGGCGUGCUUAACACAUGCAAGUCGAACGGAAAGGCCCUGCUUGCAGGGUACUCGAGUGGCGAACGGGUGAGUAACACGUGGGUGAUCUGCCCUGCACUUCGGGAUAAGCCUGGGAAACUGGGUCUAAUACCGGAUAGGAGCCAUUUUUAGUGUGAUGGUUGGAAAGUUUUUUCGGUGUAGGAUGAGCUCGCGGCCUAUCAGCUUGUUGGUGGGGUAAUGGCCUACCAAGGCGGCGACGGGUAGCCGGCCUGAGAGGGUGGACGGCCACAUUGGGACUGAGAUACGGCCCAGACUCCUACGGGAGGCAGCAGGGGGGAAUAUUGCACAAUGGGCGCAAGCCGGAUGCAGCGACGCCGCGUGGGGGAGGACGGCCUUCGGGUUGUAAACGCCUUUCGCUAGGGACGAAGCUUUUUGUGACGGUACCUAGAUAAGAAGCACCGGCUAACUACGUG
This 465-nucleotide ribosomal RNA is filed under the name uncultured bacterium. RNAcentral describes it as "partial 16S ribosomal RNA". It matches the Rfam family "Bacterial small subunit ribosomal RNA", at positions 28 to 507 of the family's 1533-position model. The record is from RNAcentral.